RNAcentral lists this ribosomal RNA (394 nucleotides) under uncultured bacterium. RNAcentral describes it as "bacterial SSU rRNA". It matches the Rfam family "Bacterial small subunit ribosomal RNA", at positions 134 to 518 of the family's 1533-position model. The record is from RNAcentral.
UGGAGGGGGAUAACUACUGGAAACGGUAGCUAAUACCGCGAUAACGUCGCAAAGACCAAAGAGGGGGACCUUCGGGCCUCUUGCCAUCGGAUGUGCCCAGAUGGGAUUAGCGUAGUAGGUGGGGUAACGGCUCACCUAGGCGACGAUCCCUAGGCUGGUCUGAGAGGAUGACCAGCCACACUGGAACUGAGACACGGUCCAGACUCCUACGGGAGGCAGCAGUGGGGAAUAUUGCACAAUGGGCGCAAGCCUGAUGCAGCCAUGCCGCCGUGUAUGAAGAAGGCCUUCGGGUUGUAAAGUACUUUCAGCGGGGAGGAAGGGAGUAAAGUUAAUACCUUUGCUCAUUGACGUUACCCGCAGAAGAAGCACCGGCUAACUCCGUGCCAGCCGCGGC